This 119-nucleotide ribosomal RNA is filed under the name Pteropus alecto (black flying fox). Lineage: Eukaryota; Metazoa; Chordata; Mammalia; Chiroptera; Pteropodidae. The record is from RNAcentral.
GUCUAUGGCCAUGCCACCCUGAACAAGCCCGAUCCCGUCUGAUCUUGGAAGCUAAGCAGGGUCGGGCUUGGUUACUACUUGGAUGGGAGACCACCUAGGAAGCCUAGGCACUGUAGGCU